UACAGAGGGCUCAAGCGUUGUUCGGAUUCAUUGGGCGUAAAGCGCGCGUAGGCGGCUCCGCAAGUCGGCCGUGAAAUCUCCGGGCUCAACUCGGAGGGGUCGGGCGAGACUGCGGGGCUCGAGGUGGGCAGAGGGCAGUGGAAUUCCGGGUGUAGUGGUGGAAUGCGUAGAGAUCCGGAGGAACACCAGUGGCGAAGGCGGCUGCCUGGGCCUGGCCUGACGCUGAGGCGCGAAAGCGUGGGGAGCAAUCCGG
Molecule: ribosomal RNA, 253 nt
Filed under: uncultured bacterium
Lineage: Bacteria
Description: partial 16S ribosomal RNA
Rfam family: Bacterial small subunit ribosomal RNA
Source: RNAcentral